This 527-nucleotide ribosomal RNA is filed under the name Anastrepha cicra. RNAcentral's name for it is "partial small subunit ribosomal RNA". The stretch from base 395 to 527 matches the Rfam family "Bacterial large subunit ribosomal RNA", at positions 2473 to 2605 of the family's 2925-position model. The record is from RNAcentral. Lineage: Eukaryota; Metazoa; Arthropoda; Insecta; Diptera; Tephritidae.
AAACAUGUCUUUUUGAAUUAUAUUUAAAGUUUGACCUGCCCACUGAAUAAGUUUAAAUGGCCGCAGUAUAUUGACUGUGCAAAGGUAGCAUAAUCAUUAGUCUUUUAAUUGAAGGCUGGUAUGAACGGUUGGACGAAGUAUAAGCUGUUUCAUAUAAAUUUAUAAUAGAAUUUUAUAUUUUAGUUAAAAAGCUAAAAUUUUAUUAAAAGACGAGAAGACCCUAUAAAUCUUUAUAUUUAAUAUUAACUAAAUUUUUUUGAUUUAUUUUAUUUUUUUAAUAUUAAUUAUUUUGUUGGGGUGAUAUUAAAAUUUAAUGAACUUUUAAUUUUUUUAAAUCAUUAAUUUAUGAGUUAUUGAUCCAUUAAUAGUGAUUAUAAGAUUAAGUUACUUUAGGGAUAACAGCGUAAUUUUUUUUGAGAGUUCAUAUCGACAAAAAAGUUUGCGACCUCGAUGUUGGAUUAAGGUAUAAUUUUGGGUGUAGCCGUUCAAAAAUUAAGUCUGUUCGACUUUUAAAUCCUUACAUGAUC